AUGAAAACAGUCCUAGGGCAGACACCACUGACUAACCCUGCCCAGCAGGAAAGGCAGGGCAAGAUUCAACAUUCACAUUCAAAAAUGAUUGGACCCAGGACUCGCGUGCCAAGUGCUCUCUCAACUGCUGUGCUUCUGCAGGCCGAUGUCUGUCUUCCCCUGCUGCUGGAGGCUGCGGUGAUGGCUUCGCUCCGUGGUAGUCCUGGGGAUGUGGCCACCGUGUCAAGAUGUGGGGUUCCCAGCGUAGAGGACUGGGAAGCACAGGGAAUGUUCAUUCAGUCUGUGCGAAUACCAGCGACACAGAGGGGCUGCUGGGAUCCAAGUACUGGAUUUGGGUUGAGAACCAAGGUUUAAGUCUUGGCUCUGCUGUCUACUAGGUAGGUACCUAUUUUCUCAUCUCUGUAAGAAGGACUAUUACCCUCUUUUGCUUUCUCUUUGGGAGGCUGUGAGGACCUCGGCAGACCCAGCAGAGGGGAAUGUGCCGGCUUCCCUGAGCUGCUGUGCAGUGGUGUUCUGUGGACAGUGGGUGAAAAGCCAAGGGAUCGGGAGGACGCCGCAACUGCAGCCAGGGCUGUCCUUGGGAACCCCCAUCCGAUGCCAGCAUGGACGCUCACGGGCACAGAGACAGCAUAGCUGGGCUUUUGCCAGCAUUUAGACAAAUUGUUGUUUCUUUGGUUGGGGUGUAGAUGAGAAAGUUGGCUUAAACCGGGAGUCACCUUAUCUGGAAAGUUGCUCUCUGGAGAC
Molecule: long non-coding RNA, 744 nt
Filed under: Fukomys damarensis (Damara mole-rat)
Lineage: Eukaryota; Metazoa; Chordata; Mammalia; Rodentia; Bathyergidae
Description: lncRNA (ENSFDAG00000033499.1)
Source: RNAcentral